UACGAAGGGGGCUAGCGUUGCUCGGAAUCAUUGGGCGUAAAGCGCACGUAGGCGGAUCUUUAAGUCAGGGGUGAAAUCCCAAGGCUCAACCUUGGAACUGCCUUUGAUACUGGGGAUCUCGAGUCCGGAAGAGGUUGGUGGAACUGCGAGUGUAGAGGUGAAAUUCGUAGAUAUUCGCAAGAACACCAGUGGCGAAGGCGGCCAACUGGUCCGGUACUGACGCUGAGACGCGAAAGCGUGGGGAGCAAACAGG
This 253-nucleotide ribosomal RNA is filed under the name uncultured bacterium. RNAcentral describes it as "partial 16S ribosomal RNA". It matches the Rfam family "Bacterial small subunit ribosomal RNA", at positions 524 to 776 of the family's 1533-position model. The record is from RNAcentral.